ACAGCCUCUGACCGUUCAAAUAAUUUCACAAAAAAAUUAUUUAAAAAUUCCAGAGGCAAAAAUAAGCUAAAAAAACUCCAGGCUUGGUUAAGAUUGCCCAAAAGACGGGAUACGGGAUGGUUUAAAAAUUAUAAUUUGCAGAAGGAAAUUUAUAUUAAUUUUUUUUCUUGUCCUCGUGUCAUCACAGUGUAGAGCUGCUGCGGCGAGGCGUUGGCGCCAUUUUCAAACUCCAGAGCCCAAGUGAAUGGAAGUGUAGUAGCAACAAAUUUCAUUUUUUUUUUAUUUACUUUUUUAUUUUUUACUUCGACAUUUUUACAGUUUGGAUUUGAUAUGUUGCCCUGGAUUUAAAGAUUUUUUUACUAAGGUGCAGAAGUGACUAAAUUGGGAGAUGAAUGUUGAGUGAGGUUGCUUUUGGGAGUAUCUUCGAGUGGCUCCCCUGUUGCUUAACAGACUGAAGAAAAAGGAUCGAGGAAACAAACAAGAGGGUUUACACAUGAUGCCUAGUCAUUGCAAGGAGUGUAAUCUAAAAAAGGUAAACAUUUCCAGUUCAUGAACUUUUUAUAUAUA
This is a long non-coding RNA of Astyanax mexicanus (Mexican tetra), 567 nucleotides long. RefSeq lists it as uncharacterized. The transcript has 3 exons. The record is from RefSeq and is a predicted model, not a curated record. Lineage: Eukaryota; Metazoa; Chordata; Actinopteri; Characiformes; Acestrorhamphidae.